CUUGCGAUAGCACAGUUGGUUGCGCGCUGACUUACAGCGCCAGGUGUUCCGGUUUCGAGUCGUCGCGAGU
This is a non-coding RNA of Dryococelus australis, 70 nucleotides long. The record is from the annotation of a GenBank genome assembly. Lineage: Eukaryota; Metazoa; Arthropoda; Insecta; Phasmatodea; Phasmatidae.